UACAGAGGCCCCAAGCGUUACUGAGAAUCACUGGGUUUAAAGGGUGCGUAGGUGGUCCGUUAAGUUCGUUGUGAAAUCCCUGGGCUCAACCCAGGAAAUGCUUCGAAUACUGGCGGACUUGAGGCUAGUAGAGGUCACUGGAACUGACGGUGGAGCGGUGAAAUGCGUAGAUAUCGUCAGGAACGCCGAUGGUGAAGACAGGUGACUGGGCUAGUUCUGACACUGUGGCACGAAAGCGUGGGGAGCGAACGGG
RNAcentral lists this ribosomal RNA (253 nucleotides) under uncultured bacterium. RNAcentral describes it as "partial 16S ribosomal RNA". It matches the Rfam family "Bacterial small subunit ribosomal RNA", at positions 524 to 776 of the family's 1533-position model. The record is from RNAcentral.